Ornithodoros turicata is the source of this 1559-nucleotide long non-coding RNA. RefSeq lists it as uncharacterized. The transcript has 6 exons. Lineage: Eukaryota; Metazoa; Arthropoda; Arachnida; Ixodida; Argasidae. The record is from RefSeq and is a predicted model, not a curated record.
GUGAGGCAAGGCGGGUCGUUUUUUGAAUAGAUGCCAAAUUACAUGGUUUGUCCUACAUUCCAUCCAAGCCGUCAGCAGAAAAAAUGACACGUUUGAUCCUGCACUCCACCUCCCAAGUUGUCAUCGGAAUGUUUUGCGGCACGACCUCCGAACCACCUGUUGAUAUUUCUUUCCAAAUUUAAAAAUAUUUUGACCUCACACACAUUCAAGGUAAGUUCAUAAUCUAUAAAUAGACAUUCUGAUGCUUUCCAGAGAUCAAUUUCACCUUAUUUCCCAAUUCCUUUCGUCACUCACCCCACAAAUUUUGCUGCAUGGCUCAUUUUCGAAGCGCCUGCCCAUUUCCUUGAAAUGUUAAAAAUAUCUCUACCUCACUCAGGCUCAAGAUAAGUUCAUGUUUUGAUAAGUAGAAACCCUGAAGCAAUCCAUAAAUGAAUUUCAUCUUACUCACUCUAUGUUUCGUUCACAUAAUGGACACAUUUUGAAAAUACUGCUCCUGUCCUAAGCAGUCUUACAUGCGAAAUUUCUACUAAAAAUAUUUCAACCCCACUCAGGCCAAGGGCGUGUCAUCUCUCCCAACCACCUGCCGAUGUUUCUUUCCAAUGUUCAAAAUAUUUUUACCUCACACACAUUCAAGGAUUCCAUCUGCGCAGCCUAAGUCUAUAAAAGAGAGUGGUCAAACAACAGCAAUGAUGCCCGAGGUGCCUGUUCGCCCCACAUGAACGCCAACAGUGUGAAACUAUCAACUUUGAGGACAACGAAUCCGUCAAGAUUAUUCGUAAUAGUGAAAGCGGCACGAUUCAUCGGGUGACACCUCUAGAGUGAACACCGCAGAUUAUAGGACUUCAUAUGUUCCUGUCAUCCACCACAAAGGUCCAAGUGUUUCACGAUGUAGGCAACGUGCAAGAAAAAAAAUGACCUUUGGCGGCCUGCAAAGGCGUGCCAGUUAGUCAGUUGUAACGGCAGUGGCCACGCAUGGGACGCGCUCGCUUGUACAUUCCAUCACUGCCAGUCAGAACUCAUGUUGAGGAAGGCCAUCUCCUCCUCAUGGUCCUGAUGGUGAGAAAGACUCCUAGAGGAGCAAGAACACACCAUGUGAUGCCAUCGAGAACAUUCCACCUCUCCAGCAAUAUUUCCGUCCUGUGUGAGUAUCACCGUAUCUGUCGUGAGAAACACUAUAGGGGCACAGAGUCUUGGUAGCACCCAUCUAAGCCCUACACAGCCACAUCCCCCAUUCCCUGACACACUUACUUUGCCAGCAGCAACAUUAGCAAGGGUGAAGCAAGUUCCUUAACUGGCUUAAAACUGUACUACAAUGCAACUUCAGCUACUGUGCAAUAAAUCCUCGACUCCAAUGACUAACGUGUUUAUCUACAAGACAACUUUAGCCCCACACCAUUAUAUUGUUGAUUGGUAUGAGUUAAGGAUUCCUAAUUGAAUUGACAAUUUUAGUGUACCGGAUUCAAUGUGCAGAGAAACUUGUCUAAGUUUGUGAAAUGCAAAAACAUAUGUAUAGUUCAAAAUAAAUGAUAUACAAUGCGAAAACAUCUAUUUGUCUUGGU